RNAcentral lists this ribosomal RNA (497 nucleotides) under uncultured bacterium. RNAcentral's name for it is "partial 16S ribosomal RNA". It matches the Rfam family "Bacterial small subunit ribosomal RNA", at positions 28 to 507 of the family's 1533-position model. The record is from RNAcentral.
GAUGAACGCUGGCGGCGUGCCUAAUACAUGCAAGUCGAGCGAACAGAUAAGGAGCUUGCUCCUUUGACGUUAGCGGCGGACGGGUGAGUAACACGUGGAUAACCUACCUAUAAGACUGGGAUAACUUCGGGAAACCGGAGCUAAUACCGGAUAACAUAUUGAACCGCAUGGUUCAAUAGUGAAAGGCGGCUUUGCUUUCACUUAUAGAUGGAUCCGCGCCGUAUUAGCUAGUUGGUAAGGUAACGGCUUACCAAGGCAACGAUCCGUAGCCGACCUGAGAGGGUGUUCGGCCACACUGGAACUGAGACACGGUCCAGACUCCUCCGGGAGGCACCAGUAGGGAAUCUUCCGCAUUGGGCGAAAUCCUGACGGAGCAACGCCGCGUGAGUGAUGAAGGUCUUCGGAUCGUAAAACUCUGUUAUCAGGGAAGAACAAAUGUGUAAGUAACUGUGCACAUCUUGACGGUACCUGAUCAGAAAGCCACGGCUAACUACGUG